GAUGAACGCUGGCGGCGUGCCUAAUACAUGCAAGUCGAACGCACAGCGAAAGGUGCUUGCACCUUUCAAGUGAGUGGCGAACGGGUGAGUAACACGUGGAUAACCUACCUCAAGGUUGGGGAUAACAUUUGGAAACAGAUGCUAAUACCGAAUAAAACUUCGUAUCGCAUGAUACAAGGUUAAAGGCGCUACGGCGUCACCUAGAGAUGGAUCCGCGGUGCANAGUUAGUUGGUGGGUAAAGCCUACCAAGACAAUGAUGACAUAGCCGAGUUGAGAGACUGAUCGGCCACA
This 292-nucleotide ribosomal RNA is filed under the name uncultured bacterium. Its description in RNAcentral is "partial 16S ribosomal RNA". It matches the Rfam family "Bacterial small subunit ribosomal RNA", at positions 28 to 312 of the family's 1533-position model. The record is from RNAcentral.